RNAcentral lists this long non-coding RNA (201 nucleotides) under Mytilus galloprovincialis (Mediterranean mussel). The record is from RNAcentral. Lineage: Eukaryota; Metazoa; Mollusca; Bivalvia; Mytilida; Mytilidae.
CCCAAAUCUACAGAAUAGUAAAAACUUUGCUUUUUUAAAGCUUUUAAAAUGGAUCUAUAUAUAAACCCUAUUGUGGUCUUUUUGAUAAAUUAAUUAUGUUAAUAUGAUACAUUUGGAAUUCAAAGCCAUGUUUUGAUUAAAGUGAACCUUGUCCUCUUUCAUGUCUUUACAACCUAAGAUAUAUAUCUAUAAGUAUUCCAU